GAGUUUGAUCCUUGGCUCAGGAUGAACGCUAGCUACAGGCUUAACACAUGCAAGUCGAGGGGAAGCGACAUCGAAAGCUUGCUUUUGAUGGGCGUCGACCGGCGCACGGGUGAGUAACGCGUAUCCAACCUGCCCACCACUUGGGGAUAACCUUGCGAAAGUAAGACUAAUACCCAAUGAUAUCUCUAGAAGACAUCUGAAAGAGAUUAAAGAUUUAUCGGUGAUGGAUGGGGAUGCGUCUGAUUAGCUUGUUGGGCGGGUAACGGCCCACCAAGGCAACGAUCAGUAGGGGUUCUGAGAGGAAGGUCCCCCACAUUGGAACUGAGACACGGUCCAAACUCCUACGGGAGGCAGCA
RNAcentral lists this ribosomal RNA (356 nucleotides) under uncultured bacterium. Its description in RNAcentral is "bacterial SSU rRNA". It matches the Rfam family "Bacterial small subunit ribosomal RNA", at positions 9 to 353 of the family's 1533-position model. The record is from RNAcentral.